UAACUAUAGUGGGACAACUGGCAUCCCUUC
RNAcentral lists this non-coding RNA (30 nucleotides) under Mus musculus (house mouse). Lineage: Eukaryota; Metazoa; Chordata; Mammalia; Rodentia; Muridae. The record is from RNAcentral.